UUAAAAUUUGAAACUGAUUAGACUAUUCAAAAAAUAAAAUAAAUUUUUUUUUUCAUUCAAAUUUGCACUAAAAAUUACAAUUUAAAUUCCUAUUUUAAUCUAUAAAUUUUAAUUUAAAAUCUAUAUAAAAUUUAAUAUUUAAUAUUUAAAAAAUAUAUUUUAAAUUAAAUUUUAUAUAUCAAAUUCAGAAUGUUUGAUAAAGUUUUAUUUUUUUUUAAGUUCAAAUUAGAAU
This 232-nucleotide long non-coding RNA is filed under the name Ananas comosus (pineapple). RNAcentral's name for it is "long non-coding RNA (ACOM_LNC040662)". The record is from RNAcentral. Lineage: Eukaryota; Viridiplantae; Streptophyta; Magnoliopsida; Poales; Bromeliaceae.